GGAAAAUUGAAAGAAUUCGAAAAGUGAAAUCAAUAUCAGCAUAAGUUUUAAUUAAAUGUUUUCAUCCAUAUUUACAAGUCCAUUAUUCAUCAUUUUCCACAUGUAUGUUUUGUAAAUGGUGAAUCUCAAAUGAAUCCAAGAACUUUGAGCUGUCAUUUCACUUAAUUGACUGUCUUUUCCGGUUUUAAUAAUGGUGAUAGUGCAGACAUACCAUAUUGCAAGUACUUAGCUGAGCAGCUGAGCUCUUCUUUUAUGUGGUUCCUUUCAAUUGGUUCAUUUGAGUGGAAUGCCGAGAGAUGUUGAACUUAUUCUAGAUUAACCCUUCGACAUUGUGCUACAAUUCGAAGAAGUUGAUGGUUACAGAAGAGCUUACUUUCAAUCAAUAUCAAUAAGUUGUGUAGAUGUUUUCUGUGACAUUGUUCACCUAACUAACCAGUCCAAUGUUUGUCAGUGGUUUCUCACCCACUGUAAAACUAGGAGGAUAAGAUAAGCUGUGUUAGUAAGGGGAACUUUGUAAAGCACAUGACCUAAUGAAAACUUUUGGUAAGUUAUGAAUUUAACCAAGAAACUUAUUUUGAUUUAUCAUUUUAUGUUUUAGUUAUUGUUU
Daphnia pulicaria is the source of this 607-nucleotide long non-coding RNA. RefSeq lists it as uncharacterized. Lineage: Eukaryota; Metazoa; Arthropoda; Branchiopoda; Diplostraca; Daphniidae. The record is from RefSeq and is a predicted model, not a curated record. The transcript has 5 exons.